AUUGAACGCUGGCGGCAUGCUUUACACAUGCAAGUCGAACGGCAGCGCGGGCUUCGGCCUGGCGGCGAGUGGCGAACGGGUGAGUAAUGCAUCGGAACGUGCCCAGUAGUGGGGGAUAGCCCGGCGAAAGCCGGAUUAAUACCGCAUACGACCUGAGGGUGAAAGCGGGGGACCGAAAGGCCUCGCGCUAUUGGAGCGGCCGAUGUCGGAUUAGCUAGUUGGUGGGGUAAAGGCUUACCAAGGCGACGAUCCGUAACUGGUCUGAGAGGACGACCGGCCACACUGGGACUGAGACACGGCCCAGACUCCUACGGGAGGCAGCAGUGGGGAAUUUUGGACAAUGGGGGCAACCCUGAUCCAGCCAUGCCGCGUGCGGGAAGAAGGCCUUCGGGUUGCAAACCGCUUUUGUUCGGGAAGAAAUCCUCUGGGCUAAUACCCCGGGGGGAUGACGGUACCGGAAGAAUAAGCACCGGCUAACUACGUG
This 484-nucleotide ribosomal RNA is filed under the name uncultured bacterium. RNAcentral's name for it is "partial 16S ribosomal RNA". It matches the Rfam family "Bacterial small subunit ribosomal RNA", at positions 28 to 507 of the family's 1533-position model. The record is from RNAcentral.